Molecule: ribosomal RNA, 253 nt
Filed under: uncultured bacterium
Lineage: Bacteria
Description: partial 16S ribosomal RNA
Rfam family: Bacterial small subunit ribosomal RNA
Source: RNAcentral
UACGAGGGGGGCAAAUGUUGUUCGGAAUCACUGGGCGUAAAGGGAGCGUAGGCGGGCUUCUAAGUUAGGUGUUUAAUCCCAGGGCCCAACCCUGGUCAGGCACCUAAAACUGGGGGUCUUGAAUAGUGGAGAGGACGAUGGAAUUGGGGGUGUAGCGGUGGAAUGCGUAGAGAUCCCCAAGAACACCAGUUGCGAAGGCGGUCGUCUGGACACAUAUUGACGCUGAGGCUCGAAAGCAUGGGGAGCAAACAGG